RNAcentral lists this ribosomal RNA (237 nucleotides) under uncultured bacterium. Its description in RNAcentral is "partial 16S ribosomal RNA". It matches the Rfam family "Bacterial small subunit ribosomal RNA", at positions 100 to 334 of the family's 1533-position model. The record is from RNAcentral.
CCGGCACGGGUGAGUAACACGUAUCCAACCUGCCGUCUACUCUUGGACAGCCUUCUGAAAGGAAGAUUAAUACAAGAUGGCAUCAUGAGUCCGCAUGUUCACAUGAUUAAAGGCGUUCCGGUAGACGAUGGGGAUGCGUUCCAUUAGAUAGUAGGCGGGGUAACGGCCCACCUAGUCUUCGAUGGAUAGGGGUUCUGAGAGGAAGGUCCCCCACAUUGGAACUGAGACACGGUCCAA